UACGUAGGGGGCAAGCGUUGUCCGGAUUUAUUGGGCGUAAAGAGCGUGUAGGCGGUUAGGUAGGUCCGUUGUGAAAACUCGAGGCUCAACCUCGAGACGCCGAUGGAAACCAUCUAACUAGAGUCCGGAAGAGGAGAGUGGAAUUCCUGGUGUAGCGGUGAAAUGCGCAGAUAUCAGGAAGAACACCUAUGGCGAAGGCAGCUCUCUGGGACGGUACUGACGCUGAGACGCGAAAGCGUGGGGAGCGAACAGG
This 253-nucleotide ribosomal RNA is filed under the name uncultured bacterium. RNAcentral describes it as "partial 16S ribosomal RNA". It matches the Rfam family "Bacterial small subunit ribosomal RNA", at positions 524 to 776 of the family's 1533-position model. The record is from RNAcentral.